RNAcentral lists this ribosomal RNA (484 nucleotides) under uncultured bacterium. RNAcentral describes it as "partial 16S ribosomal RNA". It matches the Rfam family "Bacterial small subunit ribosomal RNA", at positions 30 to 507 of the family's 1533-position model. The record is from RNAcentral.
AUCGAACGCUGGCGGCAGGCCUAACACAUGCAAGUCGAGCGGAUGAAGGGAGCUUGCUCCUGGAUUCAGCGGCGGACGGGUGAGUAAUGCCUAGGAAUCUGCCUGGUAGUGGGGGAUAACGUCCGGAAACGAGCGCUAAUACCGCAUACGUCCUGAGGGAGAAAGUGGGGGAUGUUCGGACCUCACGCUAUCAGAUGAGCCUAGGUCGGAUUGGCUAGUUGGUGGGGUAAAGGGCUACCAAGGCGACGAUCCGUUAAUGGUCUGAGAGGAUGAUCAGUCACACGGGAGCUUGGACAGCGUCAAUGGUACUGCGAGACGGAGCAGAGGGGAAUGUUGGACAGUAGUGGAGAGCAUGAUACAAUGAGGGGACGUGUGAUGAGGAGGUCUUGGGAUUGUAAAGCCCGUUAAGUGGUGGGAAAGGGCAUUAGGUUAAUACCUUGCGUGUUUGACGUUACCGGCAGAAGAAGCACCGGCUAACUUCGUG